Molecule: ribosomal RNA, 434 nt
Filed under: uncultured bacterium
Lineage: Bacteria
Description: bacterial SSU rRNA
Rfam family: Bacterial small subunit ribosomal RNA
Source: RNAcentral
AACGCGAAGAACCUUACCUGGACUAGAAUGUGAGGGAAGGUCGGUUAAUGCCGUCCGUCCGGGAAACCGGACCCAAAACAAGGUGCUGCAUGGCUGUCGUCAGCUCGUGUCGUGAGAUGUUGGGUUAAGUCCCGCAACGAGCGCAACCCUUAUCAACAGUUGCCAUCAUUAAGUUGGGAACUCUGUUGAGACUGCCGUUGAUAAAACGGAGGAAGGUGGGGAUGAUGUCAAGUCAUCAUGGCCUUUAUGUUCAGGGCUACACACGUGCUACAAUGGCCGGUACAAAACGUCGCAAUCCCGCAAGGGGGAGCUAAUCGCAAAAACCGGUCUCAGUUCGGAUUGAAGUCUGCAACUCGACUUCAUGAAGUUGGAAUCGCUAGUAAUCGCAAAUCAGCAUGUUGCGGUGAAUACGUUCCCGGGUCUUGUACACACCG